This 1360-nucleotide long non-coding RNA is filed under the name Anas platyrhynchos platyrhynchos (common mallard). RNAcentral's name for it is "lncRNA (ENSAPLG00000020690.1)". The record is from RNAcentral. Lineage: Eukaryota; Metazoa; Chordata; Aves; Anseriformes; Anatidae.
CGCUUGCUGGGGGAGGCAGCGAGAUGCGAGCCCUGCACAGACAGCCCCGUGCAGCUGCUCUGCCAGGGAUACGAUGGGGAGAUGCUGGAGGAUGCCACGGUCCCUGCACCAUGAGGUCUCUGUGCUGUGCAAAAACACCUCCCCGAGGCCAGGCAGGAGCUGCUCGGCCCCAGCCACCUCGGGGUGGAGGUGACAGCUGCCAGGAGCGUCACCAAACACCGCUCAGACGUGCUCAGGGCAGGAUAUGGAGUAUCCCAUAUCCAGCCUGGGGGCCCCAUGGGGACAGAGAGCCCCAUGGGGGGACAGCCUGCACGUGGCCUGGGCUCACCCCGAGGCAGCAGGCGGCACACGGGGGGAGCUGGGCCCCCCAGCACCCCCUCCACGUGCCUUCCCCUGCACCAGCAGCUGCCACCCACGUGCCUCUCUCUGGUUUCCAAAAGAGGGAGAGAGCUUUAAAAAUGGGGUCCCUGCAUCAGCUGCUCCAUCCCACACCGGGAAGGUGCAGGGGCUGCUCAGACACCCCGAGAAAUGCAGGAGCAGCUGCGGGGCUGGGGCAUCAGCUGCCGCGGGGGGGCUGCAGUUGGUGGGGUUGGGGACGCUGGGUUCUGCUGGAGAGGGGGCCACCAGCGUGCCGGGGGGACAGCAGCAGGGAGAGCUGCUUGGGGCACAUCUCAGGUUACCAAACCUUCACAUCCAGCGAGGAUAAGCCUCUGGUUUCGCUCAGCCUUGGGGGGAAAUGCAGCUUUCCUGUUCACGUGGGGAAAAUCUCUACCAAGGCGGCUCGACACGCUCAGCGCCAGGCUGCUCCGCACCGCCGGCACGGUCAGGGAGCAGGGAGGGAUUUUGGAGAUGCAUUUUUGGCCCCACACGUGCUGCCCUGGACGGCUGCGGGGUGGCAGGGCUUCCAGCCAAAAAAUCCCAGCUAUGCAGCACGGGCAGGCGGCCGGCACCACCGAGGAGCCCGGCCACCGCCAGCUGCCCCACACAGGAACGCGUCCCCUCCCCACAAAUAAUCCCAAAGAAGGGGCCUGGGUGGCUGACCCGGCGCCCCGCUGGCAGGAGGAUGGGCUGGGGGUGCCGUGUGCCCCCCUGACCAUGAGCAGAGCCUCGGGGAGGUUUUGCCAGCACAGACCUGACACCGACACCCAGCCCUCGCGUGGGGCCACGACGCUGAUUCCUCGCUGAUUGUGCACCGAGGGGAACGGGGGCAACGAGCUGCCACUCAGCGAAACCCAUUUGUAAAGAUUAAUACAAACCAGGCUUUCGUCCCAGGCCCUACAUUGCCUCAAGCCAGAGAACACUGGAACUUUAAUUGUAUCAGUAUAAUAAAGAAAAAAAAAAGGAGAUGCUUAAUCUAGAU